This 253-nucleotide ribosomal RNA is filed under the name uncultured bacterium. Its description in RNAcentral is "partial 16S ribosomal RNA". It matches the Rfam family "Bacterial small subunit ribosomal RNA", at positions 524 to 776 of the family's 1533-position model. The record is from RNAcentral.
UACGUAGGCAGCGAGCGUUGUUCGGAAUUACUGGGCGUAAAGAGUGUGUAGGCGGUGCUCUAAGUUCGGUGUGAAAUCUCCUGGCUUAACUGGGAGGGUGCGCCGGAAACUGGGGUGCUCGAGCGUGGGAGAGGAAAGCGGAAUUCCUGGUGUAGCGGUGAAAUGCGUAGAUAUCAGGAGGAACACCUGUGGUGUAGACAGCUUUCUGGACCAUUGUUGACGCUGAGACACGAAAGCGUGGGUAGCAAACAGG